Uranotaenia lowii is the source of this 4278-nucleotide long non-coding RNA. RefSeq lists it as uncharacterized. The record is from RefSeq and is a predicted model, not a curated record. NCBI's taxonomy places the organism in Eukaryota, Metazoa, Arthropoda, Insecta, Diptera, Culicidae. The transcript is spliced from 4 exons.
AUUGUUUUCUAGUGGAAAAUGGCCCAACCGAUACAGUAGAAAUGACAUUCCCGGUUCAGAAUGACAGCUCUCGUUGACAUCUGUCAUGAUUUGGUUGUAUUGGGAUGUGCUUAUGUGUGGGUGCAUGUGAGAAUGUGAUAGUGAAUGUGUGCGUACCAGUUCAAAAGCAUUUAAGGGAAAUUUCAUAAACCUAUAUGAAAUGAAAAAUUCAAUUUCAAGUUUCUUUUUACAUUUUAUUUACUGCUCUCUGUUCCUUCUAAACGAUCCACACAAAAAUAAACACUUUUUAUUCCAUCCAACGGGUCAGUUUUGGUAGCAUAGCUUAAUGCAAUUUUAUGGAUUCCGUCGGUCCUUUUUCUUUCGUCGCAGGUAAUUUCCUCGGUUGUGCUUGUCGAGGCCUCAAUUCUUCGAAAAGAACAUCACGAAACUUCUGAGGUAUUGGGACAGUAGACAUGCCUGAAACCAAGAAUCUUCCGGAACGCUGGAAUAGUAUCAUCGCAGUCUUCUUUAGAAAGAGCUCUAUAAAAGUUACCUGCAAUGAGACAUGCAAUUAAUAUACGUCCAAAAUAGGAAAACAAAUUAAUCAAGCACCUUAUUAAUGGAAUGAUGAGCGUUGUUAAAAUGGCGAUGACUAGCUGGUUUGUGGUUUUGCCGCUGCACUGGUUUUCCGAUGCUGCUGUGGACAAAGUUUGUAGCAAAAUGGCCGUUUGAAAUCUAGAUAUUUUUCAAGGCCUGCUUGGGUCACUAACACUCACAAGCAGAAAGUCGUUCAAAUUAUGAACCAUCUAUUAUACAGAAAAAGGAUUUAUUUGUUUUGUAUUUUAUGCUGAUGUAUAUGUGCAAUCGGUACAAUCAGCUGGCUGGGCUGAUGUACGUUUAGAGUUAAAACCUCAAUUUAUGGCAUUGAACGCAGCCCUACGCGCGAAAUUUUUCUCUCAACAAUGAUCCGCAUUGACUGCACAGAAAAAAAAAAUCUGAAUCCUUAAAAGCACUGAAAAUGAAAACCCUUAAUAUCACAUGACAUAGAACACGAUUUCCUUUUGUAAAUUUACAGAGUAAAUAAACAAUUGAACCAUUAACAGCACUGAAAUUGAAUCACACAAAUUUAACAUGACACAGAACACGAUUUCCAAUGUAAAAUUCCGUCAUUUAUGAUGCUCCUUUUUAUUUACAUCAUAUGUGAUGUAUUUUUACAGAAUACUCCAAUCAAACGCAAGAUACAAUUGACCUCAGAUCACCGUUUCAAAAAAAAAAUCAAACUUUUAACAAAAGAACUAUUAAAUCAUUUUACAAUCAUGAGGCACUUCCGUGUUAUUUGCUCUUUCAUAUAGCUAAUAUUUUUGUGCAGCGGCACCAAAAGUGGGAAGAUGUCACACACACACAUUUUCAUUCUGUUUGUUUUUGUUUACUUUGUAGAAAAAAACGUGAAGUGUACAAUGCGAAAGAAACUUUUUUGAAAAUUGUCUAUAAAAUCCGGACCUAUCUGCAGCUGGAAUAGUUUCUCGUUGUGAUAGUCGUAAACCCCUGUGGAACAAAGUGUUAGAAAAUGUCAGCUGUGAUCGGCGCGCUAAGAAACCACAGAAACAUCUCGUUACUCUUUUCCCCGAGAAUUUUAUCAGGAUCGAUAUCACUAGCUGGAACACUGGAGCAUUCAUCAGCCCCUGAGUAUUCGAGAUGCACCGGACGGAAAACACCAGUAGUGGAUGGAUUUACUCGUUAUCCACCAGUAGGUCGUCAACGAAGUACGAAAAAUUCAAAUCAGCUCAACGGCAAGGAUCAAGUUUCGACUGGCAGCAGGUAGGAUACCAUCGAUGUCUGAUUUAAGCAGCCAGCAACUCAAUGAGCUUGGAGGAAGUAUAAAAAUAUAAUUCAUAUCGAUGAACAAGCUGCGAAAAAGGAAAAUAAUGGUGAGAAGGUUUUGUUAAAAUUAUGCUCGGUAGUAAUUUCAAUUUAUCUCAUCGAAAGAUUUUUGUACCAUCCGUGGUGAUGUCCAAUCGUAAAUCCGAAAAUGGCCAAGGAGCAUAAGAAAAAAGCCCUGGAUUGUCAUGCAGAACCGCUGCUACAUUAAAGGACAAGGGAGUGUAUCGGUCGGGUGCAUCUACUGGCAUGGAAACCUACAUAUUUGCGAAUGUUAAUCAAGUAUUGAGAAAAUAAGUGGUUCAAUUGUGCAAUUAUCUUUGAGCUUGAGUGUUAUUAUGUUUACAAAUGCCAAUAAAAACAGAAUAUAAAAUUCUUUCUUGAUUUUUUAUUGGAAUCAAAAGCCUUGCGAAAAAAUUGAAAAUUACAUCACAUAUGAUGUAACCAAAAUAAAGCGUCAUGAAUGAUGGAAUUUUACAUGCGAGUUUAAUAUUACAGCUUUUCUAUUUUAAAUGACGUGUAAUGUUCAAAUCGCACUGAAAAUUCCGUCAUAUAUGAUGCUUCUUUUUAUUUACAUCACAUAUGAUGUAAUUUUACAGAUUUUUUUCGUAGUGUGUGGGUAGUAGGCGGCAAGUAGAAUUCCUACUAAUCUUUCUAGUGGUCCUACUACUCUUUUCCGUCAAAGGGAUAUUGCAAUGGCUCCCUUUAAGAUAAGCGAUGAGUAUUCAUUUCUAAGCGCAUCGAAAAAAUGAAAAAAAAAUUGUUGUACUGGUAGCGACAUCUUAUGGAUGUUAGUCCACUUACGAAUUGGUUUGAAACUUAGGUUGGUAUUCUCACACACGUUUUCAACACAUUUUUGUUCGGGGCUCGCUAUCUGUUAUCUGUGCUUCGAUCGAUUUCUAUCAGGCUGCUGAAUGAACAGCCAAACACUAAUACUAACGUACAGGCGCAGUGUUUUCAUAUGUAAUUUUGUUUGUCAGGUUCGUUCAGAAUUCGAAAAGGCGGUUUACUCAAGGCAAAUUGUAAUGAAUCCAUCAUUUUGGCCAUUUCAAUGGCAAUUCUUUCCCGUACUAAAGCUGUCCGAAAAAUUUUAGAUUAAGAAGUUGUUGUUCGACUCGAACUAAAUUUGAAUACUAAAAAGGAAUUAUGUUUAGAAUAAUGAGCAAUUUUUAGAGACAAGUAAGGCACAAACGCGAAAAAUUGUUGCUCUAGGAAAAUAAUUAAAUUCGCAUGCAAUUAUGAAAAUAAAAUAUAGUCAUUCUAGUCAAUUUUAUAUUUUAUUAAAAAAAAAUUUCUUGUUUCACAAGAUAGAUCAAAUUUUUCCAUUUCCUUUGGUGGGUCUUGAUGGUCACUUCCUAUUUAAUUAUUAUAAUAAUCCGAAACUGACUGACAGUUAUUGUGAAAAUGAAGUCCUAAUUUACAUAUGCAUCACAAUUCUUGUGCAACUGUAGCCGACUGACACCGACACCAACGCAGCAACACCAAAACAGCAUCGACCUAUACCACCAGCACCGCACCACCGAAACAACACGAACUCUCCUGACACCACUUUCAUUUUCACAACAUUUGAGCUUGUUGUGAGCAGCUGCAGCAACUGAUCCGACUGACACCCGUCACACCACACGGUAAUUUUAAAUUAUUCAGAGACUGAUUUGUUUUGGUUCAGGAGUCGCACCAUGUAUGAAGAUGAAAACAACUGAGUUGAAAUCCAUCAAAAUUUUGAGUUGUUUUUCUUCAGCGGUAGCGAAAUUCGUUGACUUAGCGAAGACGCACACUAUUUCACUGGGUAUGAAUGGAAACAACUCAGAGCAUCUCGAAAACAAAAGUUAGUGAUCGUUUUGAAAACAAAAGUUAGAUUAACUGCGACUGAUUGGUUUUCUCCAGCUGCGGCGCAACUUUUGCCACUGGAAUCGGUAAAAGGUCCGUCUGAACAUCAGAUCGCUUCGGACGCUCUCGGUCUGAUGUUUUCAUCGGAAAAUUUAUCUGUUGGCCGCAGGGAAAUAAUAUCGGCUGCUCAUAGAAUAGCAAUUAAAUAGUUUUGUUUAUUUUCAGCGAUUCAUAAUUUUGUUACUCUUCUCCAGGUCUAUUCCCGCCGGGUGUGGCAGUUCCUAUAUGCUAAGGGGACGUCAACGAGUUGGUUUGUACUGGAUGCGGUGCAGUAUUUCAUCACUGAGAUCGGUGGAAGUCCCAGCUGAGUAGCAAACUCCUCCGGUCGUCUUCCAGUUUGUUAGGUGAAAUUCCACCGGAUGCGGCAAAGGUUUUCGCUUAUGGGAUCGAUGGAACCGGCUGAUCAGCAGACCGUCAGGACGCCCUCCAGGAUCGAGAACACAAUCGGAAAAUUCGUCGGUUAACAGGAGAAAAACAAACGGUCACUUUCGAACAUCAGAAAGUGAUGGCUGCCACUCACCAUUUUGGACAAAA